UUUUCUUGUCUUUAAAAUACUAUAAUGUUUUAUUCAAAAUCGAUACACAAAAUCAUUAAUCAAACAUUUUAAUAAAAUACCAAUGCGUGAAUAAAAUCUAUUUUGAGAAAAUCAUUAAAUUAGAACAUUUAAAACACUUAUUUCGCAAACAUACUUUACUUUCAUAAUUAACUAUGAAAAUAUGUUUUAUAUAUUCCACUCACAGUGACGGUGUUCACGCUCGGUUAUUGUCCACGUCUGCGGAUCAGUACUCGCUCGCGGACCCCCCUAAAUCAAGAAAACGAAAUAAUUAUUUUUCGUAAAUUGAAAUUAGGACUAAAUUUAUGCAAUAAACUCGAAACGAAUAUCUAUCCAUAAUUUACAACUCCUGUAUCGAUAGAAUUACCAAAAUACCCUCGAAUCUGUAAAUCGUUAAAAUACUUCAAAAUCGUAAGUCACCGAAUUACUCUUGGAAUCAUAAUUAUACUCCACUCCUCAAUUUUAGGAAUUAUUAAAAUAUUCAUAGGCUCAUAAACUAUAAAAUUGCCCUCAAAGAGUGAAAUUACCGAAAUGCCCUUGCCGGUCAACGGUCACCGGAAUUUAGUCAACGCUGGCCAAGAAGCUCAAGUCUGAAAGUUCCAAUCACGCUGAAUCUAAUAGUGCCGCAACGACGCCGGAAUCUAGCUCGGCAGCCGUGAAUUUCCAACAAUUGGCCGGCGGAGAAACAGUGACUCCCGGUGACUGUGGAUGGUUGGGAAUUGAAGAGGGAGUCGUCGGGAACAAAACUGAGGUGGUGACGUGGUCAAAUUCCGGUGGAAUCAACGGCGGUGGUGAUGGGUUUCGGCUCAAGCCUUAAACGGCGGUGUUCCGGUCAAUUUUCGGCGAAGAUGACAGCUGCAAUAUGACCAACGUCUCACGGGCUUUCGAUUGAUACCUUGAUCAACCGGAGGGGUGGCCGGAAAUUGGAGACAUGGCCGGGUCACGUUCGCGGGUCGGGUCGGGUUUUGGGUCUGUUUUUGGUCGCUUCUCCCCUUCACACGUGUGCCUCUGUUUUCC
This 1035-nucleotide long non-coding RNA is filed under the name Citrus maxima (pomelo). Its description in RNAcentral is "long non-coding RNA (CMAX_LNC001915)". Lineage: Eukaryota; Viridiplantae; Streptophyta; Magnoliopsida; Sapindales; Rutaceae. The record is from RNAcentral.